UCCUACAACAAAAAAUAUCUGUCUACAGACAAAAAUGUGCCGAUCUCAUAUGAUCUCGAAGCUAAGCAGGUCAGCCUGUUUGGUAGUUGGAUGGAGACCACUAGGAAGACUAGGUGCUGUAGGGG
Molecule: ribosomal RNA, 125 nt
Filed under: Pteropus vampyrus (large flying fox)
Lineage: Eukaryota; Metazoa; Chordata; Mammalia; Chiroptera; Pteropodidae
Source: RNAcentral